This 23-nucleotide non-coding RNA is filed under the name Rattus norvegicus (Norway rat). Lineage: Eukaryota; Metazoa; Chordata; Mammalia; Rodentia; Muridae. The record is from RNAcentral.
UUCUCAGGGUGGACGGACAGACC